RNAcentral lists this ribosomal RNA (303 nucleotides) under uncultured bacterium. RNAcentral describes it as "bacterial SSU rRNA". It matches the Rfam family "Bacterial small subunit ribosomal RNA", at positions 355 to 674 of the family's 1533-position model. The record is from RNAcentral.
UGGGGAAUAUUGCACAAUGGGGGAAACCCUGAUGCAGCAACGCCGCGUGAGUGAAGAAGUAUUUCGGUAUGUAAAGCUCUAUCAGCAGGGAAGAAGAGAGACGGUACCUGACUAAGAAGCCCCGGCUAACUACGUGCCAGCAGCCGCGGUAAUACGUAGGGGGCAAGCGUUAUCCGGAUUUACUGGGUGUAAAGGGAGCGUAGACGGCUUGAUAAGUCUGAAGUGAAAGGCCAAGGCUUAACCAUGGAACUGCUUUGGAAACUAUGAGGCUAGAGUGCUGGAGAGGUAAGCGGAAUUCCUAGU